GAUGAACGCUGGCGGCGUGCCUAAUACAUGCAAGUCGAGCGAACGGACGAGAAGCUUGCUUCUCUGAUGUUAGCGGCGGACGGGUGAGUAACACGUGGAUAACCUACCUAUAAGACUGGGAUAACUUCGGGAAACCGGAGCUAAUACCGGAUAAUAUUUUGAACCGCAUGGUUCAAAAGUGAAAGACGGUCUUGCUGUCACUUAUAGAUGGAUCCGCGCUGCAUUAGCUAGUUGGUAAGGUAACGGCUUACCAAGGCAACGAUGCAUAGCCGACCUGAGAGGGUGAUCGGCCACACUGGAACUGAGACACGGUCCAGACUCCUACGGGAGGCAGCAGUAGGGAAUCUUCCGCUAUGGGCGAAAGCCUGACGGAGCAACGCCGCGUGAGUGAUGAAGGUCUUCGGAUCGUAAAACUCUGUUAUUAGGGAAGAACAUAUGUGUAAGUAACUGUGCACAUCUUGACGGUACCUAAUCAGAAAGCCACGGCUAACUACGUG
RNAcentral lists this ribosomal RNA (497 nucleotides) under uncultured bacterium. Its description in RNAcentral is "partial 16S ribosomal RNA". It matches the Rfam family "Bacterial small subunit ribosomal RNA", at positions 28 to 507 of the family's 1533-position model. The record is from RNAcentral.